ACCCUACCAAUCACUCUAUUUCACAUUUCAUUCCACAACCACAAGACACAAUUCAAUUUCCUUCUCUGCACAAAACCAAACCGCAAACCAUUUCUCCUUUCUAAAUACCGAGACACCACCUUCAUCGAAUCUCAUUUCCUUCUCUGCACAACUCCACCGAAACCACUGCAAAUCCUCUCCAUAAACACGCCUCACCUCUUCCUCUGCAUUCGACCAAGAGCAUCCGAGAGAGAGAGCCACUUGGUGAGCUGCAUCUGUGAGCUAGGAAGGAGGGAACGUGAGCUGCCAGAAAUUUCUGGUUCUGCUGUGAGUUGGAGUGAAGCCAGGGAGGAGAUUUGCAGGAAGUGAAGCCAGGGAGGAGAUUUGCAGGAAGCUUCACCAUUUUUCACCUUCAUCUCCACCAACUCCAACCAACCGAACACAAAUCCACCAGCUACACCCAAUUCCAGCCGCAACUCAGGAAACAGGAACCACCGACUGCACUUGGCCGAGAGCUAGGGAAGAAAUUUCUGGAAUAUUUCGUGUGAAAGAUUAGCUGCUAUCUGAGGGUUUUUUGAGGACGCGGAAUUCGAUCCCCAACUUGAUAUCUGAACUCCACUCUUGGUUCUGGAAACUGAAAGCUGGAUGCUUAAUUAUGUUUUUCUUUUGGGCUGUAUUUGAAUACUAUAACUUAUUCUGUGGGCUGUAACGUGUUAUUGGGAUAAUGUAUUUUCCUUUUUGGAUUGCCACUUGAAACUGGAAAGUGUGUAAACCCUAAUUCGAUUGCUUGGCUUGUAAGUUGUAUUAUGGAUUUAUGCAGUUUAUCUAUCCGGUUUGUUAUGACUUUGUACUUUGGUAAGUAGCACGUAGGACGUUUAAGGGCCUCGACUGG
Molecule: long non-coding RNA, 871 nt
Organism: Coffea arabica (coffee)
Lineage: Eukaryota; Viridiplantae; Streptophyta; Magnoliopsida; Gentianales; Rubiaceae
Source: RefSeq, a predicted model, not a curated record